RNAcentral lists this small nuclear RNA (77 nucleotides) under Ailuropoda melanoleuca (giant panda). The record is from RNAcentral. Lineage: Eukaryota; Metazoa; Chordata; Mammalia; Carnivora; Ursidae.
AAAUUGGAACAACCCAAAGAUUAGCAAGUUCCCUGCAAAAGGAUGACACAUAAAUUCAUGAAUCAUUCUAUAUUUUU